Heterocephalus glaber (naked mole-rat) is the source of this 1678-nucleotide long non-coding RNA. The record is from Ensembl. Lineage: Eukaryota; Metazoa; Chordata; Mammalia; Rodentia; Bathyergidae.
CACUGCUGGCCCAAGGAAGGCCUUGCCUCAUAAUCCUCAUGGUAGUUAGUCAUAAUUCUAGUGCACCCCAAACAUGUCAUUCUGUAAUCACAAAGUAGGUUUUGUUAUUAUUUGAAUAAGUCACCAAGUUGUUGUUUUUUUAGCACACACAUACAACUUUUUCCCCUUGUACAGAGCAGGGGUUAAGGUACACAUUCCUCAGACGAUGUCUAAUGGAAACCUUGACCCUACUUCACCAUUUAUGCCUUUGGCCAGUAUUUCCCUUGAAGACUUCUAGUUAGAGAUUUAACAAAACAAAUAAAAACUCCUUUGUUAACUUUCAUCUAAGAAUUAGAAAACACCAUUUAGCACGAUUUGGCACUGGAUUCCCAGGAUUUGAUGCAAUAUAUUUCAGUGUUUCUGUUGCUGAUCUCACAUGUGCCACUGCCUUUUCCAAGCUUUGCUCCAUGCCAAGUCAUCACAUGGAAGACCCAACUGGCUAUAUGUGUCCUGCCAGGGAGUUCUGGCAGAGAUUUGCAUGCUGAAGGAUAUGGAAUUAGUUUAGUACCAGAUGAGAAUACAGAAACAGAGACGUUAAGUACCUUGACCCAGGUCACACCACUAGGAAGUGGCAGAAAUAGGAUCCAAAUUCAGGCAGCCUGGCUCCAGAGUUCUUGUACGGGGGAUCGAACUCAGGACAUUGCACUUGCAAGAUAGGCGCAGCACCACUGAGCUAAAUCUGAUCCUGGGCCCCCUGUUUUUCAAUUUUUUGGAGUAUAUGUAUACCCAGAUGUGGGGUUGCUGAACAAGCAGAUUUCAAUGGAAACAGAAACUAGGCCACUUCAAAGUCCCCUGGCUCCUGAUUCUUCUUGUUGCCUCUGGGGCAACUCCCGGGAGAUUUACAAAACAGCAGCAGCAAACCGAGACCAUCAGUCUGAGUUGGAAGGGUCUUCAGAAGCCAUCAAGUCCUCAGCCCCCACUUAUGGAUGAAGAAUUUGUACUGAAUCCAGUCAUGCCACAAGCCAGUUCCUUCAUCCUGGUCAUGAAGCCUGGGCCUGGGGCACAGCUACUUCACUUAUCCUCUUGGAGACAAAGGAAAAUGGAACAGUUCAUCUGGAGAAGGAGGUGGAGGGGAGAUUUUCUGCUGGGUAUCUCUGGGGGCUUCCCCUCAGGAUGGCCCAGGGGACUUCAAGAGGCACCACACAGACUCAUUAAAUCCAAAGUGACAGGCAAAAUAAAGCAUUCAAGGUACAGCUGAUUAAGUCAUAGAGUUUAGCCACAGUCCACCAGGGAUUUCCUCCAUCCCAGCAUAAAGCUCUGUCCAGCAAACAGCCUGCUGAUUCUGGCUUGGCAACAUCCAUGAGAGGGCUGGAGGUGGACACAGCAGCCAUUUGGCAAUCUUUCUGCCUGGCCACAGGAGCCUGGUGAUCACUCUCUCUGCCUCCCUUGAAGCCGAGGUCCUGCCACGUGACCAGUCAAAGGCUAGGGUGAAAGAGAAGCAGAAGCAGACAGGUCCAUGUCAAAGGAGGGGGACAUAGCUGCAUCGAAUGUCCACACAGGGACUCCCCAGGCUGCUCUUUGCUCCCAGCAACAUUAGCAGUGGUGGCUCCCUCAGACUCGAGUCCCUUCGGGCUUGUUCCUGGCUGUGUAGACUUCAAGCCAGUUCCUGCAGCCUUCCUGGAGACUGAGUUACCUUGUG